AAAUCCCGCCCUGAAAACCCCAAGCUAAAAAAAAAUGAUCUAUUCUUGCAGAUUUUUCUAUGUUUGAUUAAUCUGCUUUGAGGCCGGAUUCAUAACAAGCAGCUCUUUAAAAACUGUAUGGUCUUUGAAAAACAGUCUGAAACCUCUCCAUAUCCUCAGCCUUUUGGGAGUUUCAAGCCAGUGUGCGGCCUCCGCUGGAGACAGCUUUUCCAUCUCCCAGGAUUCCUGGGGACACAAGGACGGCGGGUCCUCACCUGGAGCAGUGAAUGUGCAGUCACUUAUCUGGGAUUACAACCUGAGUCAACAGCGGAACCAGGAAGUGAACUCAGGGCCGGGCAUCAUAUGGAAAGUUGAGUGUAUUUACUUUUCUCUUAAAGCAAACUUUGAUUUACUCUUUAAUAAGUUACCACUAAGGAUUUAGUUGUGGAGAAAUUUGACUUGGCAUUCAAACUCAAGUCACAUAUUGAUAAAGAAGGAGAGGGAACAGUGGGUCUUUUGCGUUUUUCCAGCUUUAUCAUUAACCCCAAGUUUAAACAUGUUUGCUUUUAGAAGCGUUUUCAAGAAGGUGAUAAUUCUCUAUUGAUGAGAUAUUUUGACAUCCUUAGCUGAACGGUGUUAUAACUGGGGUAGCCCAUGGCACUGUUGAAACCCUGGAGGGGCCGUGUGACCAAAUACAGUGCCUUUGACUUCCGACAAGUUUAAGUCUCGGCUCUGUCACUUACGUGCCACCUGGGAAAUCUCUUCACCUCUUUGGGCUCAAUUUCCUCAUCAGUAAAAUGGGGGUAAAAGUUACCUUCCUCAGAAGGUCAUUAUAAGAGUCAACAAGGAGAUAUAUGUGAGGGGCAAGAUGGGAGAGUGGAAUGCAGUGGAUGCUUAGUAGACAAACUGUUAGCGUUAUGUAUUACUUAGGUCAUGUUUAUUGUGGGGAAUAAAACUUCUGUUUUCUCUUUCCAGAAGUUUCUCCAGGAAGUCACCUGGAGGUAAAAAAUUUGAUUUCACCCUCUGUGCUUUUCCUAGUCGUUUCCACAUGAGUGGAUGGAGCCGGCCUUCAAGGACUAGAGUGAAAGAAUGUUCUUGGCUCACUGCGGAUAGGGGCGCUGGUCCUGGGAGUGGUCAGGGGUGAAGGUUCCCUUUCCUGCCUGCUGACAGCACUUCUGCGUUAAAUGCAGCAAUCUACAAAAAAUGGAAAGAAACACAAGAAGAGGAAGGAAGGCACCAAGGAGCCUUCUCAUAUGUCUCUGAUGAUCUUUUGGGAUGAGUUGUUUCUUUGCUUGCUCAAAGGGCCCAAGAAGAACUUCUAAGGAGAAGGAGAGCGCCCUUUUGUGGAGUUCUAAUAGGCCUCUCUCCCAUUUGCUCCCAUAGUGGAGACGAGAGCAAGGGCGCAGAUCACCUUUUGUGAUAAGAACACAAGGAGCAAAAGCAGAAGUGAAGGGGUCAUCCAGGAGAUGAGGGGUGCAGGGGUUGGUGUGCCUUGAGUGUCCGUGAGGGGUGCACUGCUUUCUAAACUUUUAAUCUCCAUGCACCAGGAAUUCUAAACAAUACCAGUGAUAGUAUCUUUCUUCCAUUGGGCCACUCCUGCUCCCUCUGGUAGGCACCAGGUGAGUGAGGUGGAAAGGAGGCAGCAUGGCCCCAAGUCAGAGGAACCCGAGACAGUCUCCUCCAAAUGAGAGUGGAGAGGCCAGGUGCUCAGGCAUCCUUGGGGGUCAAAAGAGUGACGAGAGAGGGAGAGAGAUGAGUGUCCACAGCGUGGUGAGAGGUGCCCAGCUGGAUGUACUUCUCUCCACCACCCAUCUACGAGGCAGGUCCUUGGAGUGGAGCCCACAAUGGCGCUGUGCUGGGCUGGGCUGGGCUGGGCUGGGCUGGGGGCGCCAUACUUUGGAGAGAAUCUGGUAGGCAGACCUUAGAGCAGAGCAGACAUGUCUGGAGGUUGAGGGUGUGACAAAGAGCUGCAACGUUCCUACAUGUAAAGACUCCCUCCCCUUCGGUCCUGACCUGAAGACGGCACUCUUCUGCCCUGCUCUGCUUCUGCCGUUUCUGGUGGAAAUGGCUCUAAAGAAUCACGCUUACCAGCAGGGUGAGUUCAUUUGACCAUCACGACCGCUGGUGAAAUGCGUGGAAUUAUGCCCAUUUAACGAUGAGGAAACAGGCUCAGAAAGGGGCAAGAGCCUCUCAGUGGCACCCGGUUGGGUAGCAAUGGGUCUGGGAAUUGUCCCCAGUUUGCCAACCAAACGGCUUCCUGCUCUCGAAGCCUGAGGAGGCCCCUGCAGAAGUGAUUGUUUCUUUCUGGAGCUUCACGCCAUGUGGAAGAUCAUUUGGGAGGAAUACAUGGAACUCCCCUUAAGCUCAGCAGGCCUGUGGAUCGCCCUUCAGCACAACUGCAAGGCGUCACCUUUAAGAGUCCUUGAAGGGCACAGUGCCAAACAGACAGCUCCUCAGCGAGGAUGCUGCUCCCAGAGGGGCCGGCUUUCCAUGUACGCUGAGAUCCCUACAGAGCGGCAGAGCUGAUUUUUAGAGAGCAGUCUGCUUUGAAAGUGGCCCUGGGGGCUCAUGUCAUUAUCGGAAUCCUGGGAUCCUCGCUCCGAGACAGGCCUGACUGUGGGGACCUGCUGGCUGAAGCGCCUCCUUCUUGCGAGGCCUUCCUUGGUAUGGAAAAUUUGAGAGACUCACCGCCCUCUCAGUGCAGGGCUUGCACAUCUCUCCCCACCACCUUUUCAAGCAUACGGGAAGCCACAGAAAAUGGGGGCAAUGUCUUAAGUGGAGGCCACUGGAUACAGCAGAAUCCGGAGUGAGGGAAGACCCCCCUGUUUUGAAUCUUCGCAGCCUGUCCACCAGGUCCCUUGACCCAUGGAGAGCCACCGUGCUCAGGGGACCCUGAGCAGUGGGCUAAUCAGAAGGACAGGCUAGCACGAGGCUUCACUUAGGGCUCAGGGCCAUGUCCAAGGGGAGGAAGCCAGGAGCCCGAGUGGUAGCCCUCAUAGGAUCAAAGUGCCAGAUGCAGUGCCCUCGUCCCCUGCCUCCCUCUGAGUGUAAACUUCACUGAAUUCGAGAGAGGUCUACCUUCUUGAAAGAAGACUUGGCCUGUCCAGGUUAUUUAUGUGUGUGUCCGCCUUUGUUGUGCAGAGCGGUGCACAUAAAAGCCUGGCUGGGCAGGGUAGGAGUGCCCAUCAGUGCCUCGCACAGGAAAUUGGAAAUUGGAAACCGAGGGUCUACCCCCACUCCGCCUCUGACUCAGGCUUAAACAAACCCAACACCCGCCCUGACCUUUGCUCCCUCCAUCUGUGGCAGACCUGACCUGCCAGCAGCCCUGCCAGGCCGAGGGCUCCCGAAAGUCCAGCAUUUGGUCAGCUUCCUGCGGGAGAGAAUCCUUUGGGUCCGACUGAAUGUAUGGCUGCAGCCCGUCAUUUUUUUUUUGUCUUCAACAAAGUGAAUUCUUAAAUUUUUUUCCCCCUCUUUAAAUUUUCAUUCAUUAUAUUCAUCAAUGCAGAGAGAUGGAACAUUUGGCAAAAUUAUUUUAAGUAGCACUCCAACCUGUGAUCAUAAUUUCAAAUCAAGGAAUUUGCUGAGCAGCUGUGGGCAGAACAAAGGACCUGGGAGUGAUUUAGGAACCGGGGGGAGGGGAGGCUGCAUAGCCAGGACAGAAGCAGCUGGGGAAGCAGGUUGUCUGCCGGCUAGGCCCUGCCUUCGGUCUACACGGGGCGACAGUGCCGUUUCCAUCUGCUGAACACACCACGCACAGCACUUAAAAAUGGAUACACGGAGCAGAGGACUGAGAUUCAAUUUAACAUGAUGGCUGAGAGCUUCAGCUCAGGAGUGGGACGGACCUGGCCUUGAAUCCUCGUUCUGCCACUCAUCCGCCUUGGUUGAGUCAUCUAUAAAAUGGGAACAAUCGCAGCAACCACAUCUUAGGGACUAUUAUGAUAUGUAUACGUCAUAUAUUUGUCUGGCCUAGUUACUAGCACAUAGUAAGUGUUCAAAAUGCUAUUAUUAUUGCCAAUAUGCAGAAAUGGACAAUUUCUGUCUUUGCAAUCGAUUCAUUCACCAAACAUCUAUCCAGCACCCCUUGUGCUCUAGGUACAUGCCAGGAGUUGUAGGGGUGAUCUAGUCCAGCCUUUCAUCUUUUUAACAGAAUUUCUGAUGGAUGAUAGUUGAGCUUCUGCUCAAACUCUGCUAGGAACGGAGAGCUCACUACUUCAAAAGGACUCCUACCACACCAUGGCUUGCCAAGCGGUGCCACAUCCCCACCUGGGAUCUGAACCAGUGAACCCCGGGCCGCUGAAGUGGAACAUGCGCACUUAACUCCUGUCCACUGGGCCAGCCCCUAGUCAUCUUUGUAUGCACACCUGCCUUCAACAUUUGUCCAGUCAAGUAAGUUCCCCAUGCAUAGACACAAAAGAUGAAAGAACACUGCCAAACGAACUUUUAGCAGUUGAAAUGGUCCAGGAUCGGGUGACAAAAUAUUACUUGAUGAAGUCUUUCCCCUGGAGUGACUGACUGAGAACAUCAUAUUUCCUUUUGGUCCACAGAAAUAUAUCAUUCACCCAUCAACUUUUGAAUUUGAGAAAAUUCAUUGAGGAUAUUGUUAUCUGAAGGCUUAUGGUCUGAGAUUUCACUUAUAUGAUCAAUUUCGUCUUUGUUAUUAGAGUCUAGACCUCUGCUGUCUCUGCCUUCAUUUCUGAUUCAUCUAAGAACUGUGACACAUCUUUCUUUAUUUUUUCUCCCUGCCAUUACAGACAGAAAGGAAAAAAUUCUAAAUUUUCAACUGUGUUCAAUGCAAGCUACAAAAAUGGUGUCUCUAUUCUUCUUUUAUAUCUCCUUAAAGAUGAUGCCACAUCAUGCCAUACUUUCCCCAAUGCAACAGGAAUACAGAGAAUGAUGCAACUGUGAUAAUUUCACUAUUGUAUCAUCCUUCUAAUCUAGGUCAUUCCAGCACCCUUCUUCUUCUUCUUCUCCUUCUUCAAUUCUUCUUCUAAUUCUAAUUCUUCUUCUUCUUCUUCUUCUUCUUCUUCUUCUUCUUCUUCUUCUUCUUCUUCUUCUUCUUCUUCUUCUUCCCCUCGUCCUCCCCCCCCACCUUUUUUCUUAGUAUUAUUCAGAAUAAUUCAUGAGUAAUGAUGAAGUAGAAAACAUGUUUCAAGAUAUGGGAAAAAUAAGUACCCUAAGAUCCAUAAAUGUCACUUAGAUGUAUAAAAG
Long non-coding RNA from Equus asinus (donkey), 5187 nucleotides. The record is from Ensembl. NCBI's taxonomy places the organism in Eukaryota, Metazoa, Chordata, Mammalia, Perissodactyla, Equidae.